RNAcentral lists this non-coding RNA (24 nucleotides) under Rattus norvegicus (Norway rat). Lineage: Eukaryota; Metazoa; Chordata; Mammalia; Rodentia; Muridae. The record is from RNAcentral.
GGCAUCCACGUCCAGGGACUGCAC